This 492-nucleotide ribosomal RNA is filed under the name uncultured bacterium. RNAcentral describes it as "partial 16S ribosomal RNA". It matches the Rfam family "Bacterial small subunit ribosomal RNA", at positions 29 to 507 of the family's 1533-position model. The record is from RNAcentral.
AGUGAACGCUGGCGGUAGGCCUAACACAUGCAAGUCGAACGGCAGCACAGUAAGAGCUUGCUCUUACGGGUGGCGAGUGGCGUACGGGUGAGGAAUACAUCGGAAUCUACUUUUUCGUGGGAGAUAACGUAGGGAAACUUACGCUAAUACCGCAUACGACCUACGAGUGUAAGCAUGGGAUCUUCGGACCUUUCGCGAUUGAAUGAGCCGAUGUCCGAUUAGCUAGUUGGCGGGGUAAAGGCCCACCAAGGCCACGAUCCGUAGCUGGUCUGAGAGGAUGAUCAGCCACACUGGAACUGGGACACGUUCCAGACUCCUACGGGAGGCAGCAGUGGGGAAUAUUGGACAAUGGGCGGAAGCCUGAUCCAGCCAUACCGCGUGGGUGAAGAAGGCCUUCGGGUUGUAAAGCCCUUUUGUUGGGAAAGAAAAGCAGCAGGUUAAUACCCCGCUGUUCUGACGGUACCCAAAGAAUAAGCACCGGCUAACUUCGUG